RNAcentral lists this ribosomal RNA (253 nucleotides) under uncultured bacterium. Its description in RNAcentral is "partial 16S ribosomal RNA". It matches the Rfam family "Bacterial small subunit ribosomal RNA", at positions 524 to 776 of the family's 1533-position model. The record is from RNAcentral.
UACGUAGGGCGCAAGCGUUGUCCGGAAUUAUUGGGCGUAAAGAGCUCGUAGGCGGCUUGUCACGUCGGGUGUGAAAGCCCGGGGCUUAACCCCGGGUCUGCAUUCGAUACGGGCAGGCUAGAGUGUGGUAGGGGAGAUCGGAAUUCCUGGUGUAGCGGUGAAAUGCGCAGAUAUCAGGAGGAACACCAGUAGCGAAGGCGACACUCUGGGCCGGUACUGACGCUGAGGAGCGAAAGCGUGGGGAGCAAACAGG